AAAAAUCUAUGUAAAAAAAUUUCCAUAUAAAUAAAUUUUUCAUGAUUUUAAAAAUUUUCUUUAAAUUUAUUUUACAUAUAAAUUUUAGUAUAAAAUUUUAUUUAUUUUAAAAAUAAUUAAUUUAAUUUGUAGUAAUUAACAUUAAAAAUUUAAGAAAUUAAGAUUUAGUAAUAUAAAAAUUAAUAACAAAUUUUGUGCCAGCAGUUGCGGUUAAACAAAAGUUAAAUUAAAUUUUAUUAGGAUAUUAAUAAAUAUAAAAUUAUAUUAAUUUAAAUAUUAGAUUGUUAAGUGAAAUUUUAAUUUAAAUUAAAAUUAAUAAUAUUUAUUUUAUUAUAUGAUUUAAUAAAUUUUAUUAUAAACUAGGAUUAGAUACCCUAUUAUUAUAAAUUUAAAUAUAAAUACUAAAAUAGUAUAUAAUUAUUUAUUGAAACUUAAAUAAUUUGGCGGUAUUUUAGUUCAUUUAGAGGAAUCUGUUUAUUAAUUGAUAAUCCACGAAUAAUUUUACUUAAUGAAAAAAUUUUGUAUAUCGUUGUUAAAAAAAUAUUUUUAAAUAAAUUUAAUAUUUUAAAAUUUUAAAUAAAAAUUAAAUCAGAUCAAGAUGCAGAUUAUAAUUAAGAAUAUAAUGGAUUACAAUAAAUUUAUUUAUAUGGAAAUUUUAUUGAAAAAUUAAAUUGAAGGUGGAUUUAAAUGUAAUUUUAUUUAAUUUGUUAAAAUGAUUAAAAAUUAAAAUAUGUACAUAUUGCCCGUCGCUUUCAUUUAUAAAUUGAAAUAAGUCGUAACAAAGUAGAGGUACUGGAAAGUGUUUCUAGAAAGA
RNAcentral lists this non-coding RNA (814 nucleotides) under Meiligma sp. GTI-94. Lineage: Eukaryota; Metazoa; Arthropoda; Insecta; Lepidoptera; Tortricidae. The record is from RNAcentral.